This 252-nucleotide ribosomal RNA is filed under the name uncultured bacterium. Its description in RNAcentral is "partial 16S ribosomal RNA". It matches the Rfam family "Bacterial small subunit ribosomal RNA", at positions 524 to 776 of the family's 1533-position model. The record is from RNAcentral.
UACAGAGGUCUCAAGCGUUGUUCGGAUUCAUUGGGCGUAAGGGUGCGUAGGUGGCGCUGUAAGUCGGGUGUGAAAUUUCGGAGCUUAACUCCGAAACUGCAUUCGAUACUGCGGUGCUUGAGGACUGGAGAGGAGACUGGAAUUCAUGGUGUAGCAGUGAAAUGCGUAGAGAUCAUGAGGAAGACCAGUGGCGAAGGCGGGUCUCUGGACAGUUCCUGACACUGAGGCACGAAGGCCAGGGGAGCAAACGGG